Molecule: ribosomal RNA, 559 nt
Filed under: uncultured bacterium
Lineage: Bacteria
Description: bacterial SSU rRNA
Rfam family: Bacterial small subunit ribosomal RNA
Source: RNAcentral
CCUCGGGAGGCAGCAGUGGGGAAUCUUGGACAAUGGGGGCAACCCUGAUCCAGCCAUGCCGCGUGAGUGAAGAAGGCCCUAGGGUCGUAAAACUCUUUCGCCUGUGAUGAUAAUGACAGUAGCAGGUAAAGAAACCCCGGCUAACUCCGUGCCAGCAGCCGCGGUAAUACGGAGGGGGUUAGCGUUGUUCGGAAUUACUGGGCGUAAAGCGCACGUAGGCGGAUUAGAAAGUUAGAGGUGAAAUCCCGGGGCUCAACCCCGGAACUGCCUUUAAAACUACUAGUCUAGAGUUCGAGAGAGGUGAGUGGAAUUCCGAGUGUAGAGGUGAAAUUCGUAGAUAUUCGGAGGAACACCAGUGGCGAAGGCGGCUCACUGGCUCGAUACUGACGCUGAGGUGCGAAAGUGUGGGGAGCAAACAGGAUUAGAUACCCUGGUAGUCCACACCGUAAACGAUGAAUGCCAGUCGUCGGGUAGUAUACUAUUCGGUGACACACCUAACGGAUUAAGCAUUCCGCCUGGGGAGUACGGUCGCAAGAUUAAAACUCAAAUGAAUUGACGG